Molecule: ribosomal RNA, 253 nt
Filed under: uncultured bacterium
Lineage: Bacteria
Description: partial 16S ribosomal RNA
Rfam family: Bacterial small subunit ribosomal RNA
Source: RNAcentral
UACGUAGGGUGCGAGCGUUAAUCGGAAUUACUGGGCGUAAAGCGUGCGCAGGCGGUUUUGUAAGCCAGAUGUGAAAUCCCCGGGCUUAACCUGGGAAUGGCAUUUGGGACUGCAAGGCUUGAGUGCGGCAGAGGAGACUGGAAUUCCCGGUGUAGCAGUGAAAUGCGCAGAUAUCAGGAGGAACACCAAUGGCGAAGGCAGCUCGCUGGAACGGUACUGACGCUGAGGCGCGAAAGCGUGGGGAGCAAACAGG